This 457-nucleotide ribosomal RNA is filed under the name marine sediment bacterium ISA-7247. Its description in RNAcentral is "bacterial SSU rRNA". It matches the Rfam family "Bacterial small subunit ribosomal RNA", at positions 56 to 524 of the family's 1533-position model. The record is from RNAcentral.
UGUCAAGUCGAACGAUGAUGCCCAGCUUGCUGGGCGGAUUAGCUGGCGAACGGGUGAGUAACACGUGGAGUAACCUGCCCUUGACUUCGGGAUAACUCCGGGAAACCGGGGCUAAUACCGGAUAUGAGCCGUCCUCGCAUGGGGGUGGUUGGAAAGUUUUUCGGUCAGGGAUGGGCUCGCGGCCUAUCAGCUUGUUGGUGGGGUGAUGGCCUACCAAGGCGACGACGGGUAGCCGGCCUGAGAGGGCGACCGGCCACACUGGGACUGAGACACGGCCCAUACUCCUACGGGAGGCAGCAGUGGGGAAUAUUGCACAAUGGGCGAAAGCCUGAUGCAGCGACGCCGCGUGAGGGAUGAAGGCCUUCGGGUUGUAAACCUCUUUCAGCAGGGAAGAAGCGCAAGUGACGGUACCUGCAGAAGAAGCGCCGGCUAACUACGUGCCAGCAGCCGCGGUAAU